GAUGAAGAACGUAGCGAAAUGCGAUAAGUAAUGUGAAUUGCAGAAUUCAGUGAAUCAUCGAAUCUUUGAACGCACAUUGCGCCCUCUGGUAUUCCGGGGGGCAUGCCUGUUCGAGCGUCAUUACAACCACUCAAGCUCUCGCUUGGUAUUGGGGCUCGCGGUUCCGCGGCCCCUAAAAUCAGUGGCGGUGCCUGUCGGCUCUACGCGUAGUAAUACUCCUCGCGAUUGAGUCCGGUAGGUCUACUUGCCAACAACCCCCAAUUUUUACAGGUUGACCUCGGAUCAGGUAGGGAUACCCGCUGAACUUAAGCAUAUCAAUAAGCGGAGGA
RNAcentral lists this unclassified non-coding RNA (329 nucleotides) under soil metagenome. RNAcentral describes it as "partial contains 5.8S ribosomal RNA, internal transcribed spacer 2, and large subunit ribosomal RNA". The stretch from base 1 to 120 matches the Rfam family "5.8S ribosomal RNA", at positions 35 to 154 of the family's 154-position model. The record is from RNAcentral.